RNAcentral lists this ribosomal RNA (174 nucleotides) under uncultured Barnesiella sp. RNAcentral describes it as "partial 16S rRNA". It matches the Rfam family "Bacterial small subunit ribosomal RNA", at positions 355 to 525 of the family's 1533-position model. The record is from RNAcentral. Lineage: Bacteria; Pseudomonadati; Bacteroidota; Bacteroidia; Bacteroidales; Barnesiellaceae.
UGAGGAAUAUUGGUCAAUGGCCGGAAGGCUGAACCAGCCAAGUCGCGUGAGGGAAUGAGGCCCUACGGGUCGUGAACCUCUUUUGCCGGGGAGCAAGGCCCUCCACGUGGGGAGGGAAGGAGAGUACCCGGAGAAAAAGCAUCGGCUAACUCCGUGCCAGCAGCCGCGGUAAUA